UACAUGGGGUGCAAACGUUGCUCGGAAUUAUUGGGCGUAAAGCGCGCGUAGGCGGUUAUCUAAGUCGGAUGUGAAAGCCCUCGGCUUAACUGAGGAAGUGCACCCGAAACUGGAUAGCUAGAGUACGAAAGAGGGUCGCGGAAUUCCCGGUGUAGAGGUGAAAUUCGUAGAUAUUGGGAAGAACACCGGUGGCGAAGGCGGCGACCUGGUCCAUUACUGACGCUGAGGCGCGACAGCGUGGGGGAGCAAACAGG
Molecule: ribosomal RNA, 254 nt
Filed under: uncultured bacterium
Lineage: Bacteria
Description: partial 16S ribosomal RNA
Rfam family: Bacterial small subunit ribosomal RNA
Source: RNAcentral